CUCUUCCGGAAGGGUAUCCCAAAUACCAUUACUAAUUAGCUUUCGCAAGUGGUCGCUGUCAACAGUGAAAGCUCUUCGAGCCUCAGCUGAGCUCCAAGCAACGCGUUGAACUGAACGCGGGGUUUCUUCCCUACUACGCAACCAAACUGGAUGCAAUAUUGCUUUUCUCCAAUUGGUGAGCGACAUCUUCUUAACUUUCCCCUCCACCAUUUCAUAACAUUCUGGCUCCUCAGUAAACACACCACCCAUACAAGCAGCGACGUAAAUCACGAUCACAAAGGUUGAUGGGAUAGGUUUGGAGUUUUCAUCCAACACUGGCUCGAAGAAUAUUUCCCAGUGUUCCCCUCGUUUUGGUUGCCCAAUCUGCUCAGGCCAAAUCAUCUUGUUGAUGGCAUUCUCAAUUAUCUUUGUUAUUUUCCUCUUGUCUUCCUCAUUCAAAAUUAGCUCUCCUUCAACAACUUUGUCAUCUUUGAUGCCAUAGUAGAUAUGACCUCCGUUAUAAUUGGCAAACGCUGAAACAUAGCAACUGAAUUUAUUUCCUUUACCAGUCAUACGAUCUGCUAGGGUGGUACGUUUUGAUGGACCUGCUUUUACAUGCUUGAACUGAAUACACAUGGUUUCGUGAAAAUCACAGUUUUCACCUCUUGGAAAUAUUUUGCAAUGUGAGCCAGGUUGGACUAAUUCCGAGACGAUUUUUCUGUUGAUGAUAUCGUUGACGUUUUCUAUUUUUUCCAGAGGAGAUGCG
This is a non-coding RNA of Paramuricea clavata, 745 nucleotides long. NCBI's taxonomy places the organism in Eukaryota, Metazoa, Cnidaria, Anthozoa, Malacalcyonacea, Plexauridae. The record is from the annotation of a GenBank genome assembly.